RNAcentral lists this small RNA (127 nucleotides) under Marmota monax (woodchuck). Lineage: Eukaryota; Metazoa; Chordata; Mammalia; Rodentia; Sciuridae. The record is from RNAcentral.
GCUAGGAGUGGUGGUGCAUGCCUGUAACCCCAGCAACUCAGGAGGCUGAGGCAGGAGGAUUGCAAGUUCAAAGCCAGCCUCAGCAACUUAGCAAGGCUCUGAGCAACUUAGUGAGACUCUGUCUCAA